AGAAGGGAACUGGAGGCCCCUGCUCUCAGGGAAAGGGCACUGGAUUGAGAGUCGGCAGAGAAUUCUAGUCCUGCUUCCACCCCAACCAGCUAGGUGCUCAUGAAAGUGUUCUUUGGGCCUCAGUUCCCCCAUCUGUAAAAGAAGGAUGGGUAUGUUAGAUUUUAAGGUGGGUUCUCUGUGAUUUAUUUAUUUAUUUAUUUAUUUAUUUAUUUAUUUAUUUAUUUUGAGACGGAGUUUCGCUCUUGUUGCCCAGGCUAGAGUACAAUGGCGAGGUCUCAGCUCACUGCAACCUCCACCUCCCAGGUUCAAGCAAUUCUCCUGCCUCAGCCUCCCAAGUAGCUGGGAUUACAGGCACGUGCCACCACACUCAGGACAGAAAGCCGCUGCGGAGCAAAGGUGCCUCCAGGGACAGACAGGGAAAAGCUUGCGGGAGACAGCCACCCUCACUGGCCCCUCCUGUGGCGGGAACAAGCUCCACAGGCCUGCUAAGAUCACCAGACCCUGACUCGAGCUGUGAGCCAGUUCAUUGCCUACUGCCCACAGCUCACCGCAGCCAAGCCCAGCCUGGCCGUGACCCCUAACGCUACCCACACCAGCUUCACAUCCUGACGUUUUCUGACCCCUCUCCCAAAAACCUCCUUGCUUCCCUCUGGCCUCUGAAACAGAGAACCUCCUUGCUUCUCUCUGGCCUCUGAAACAGGGUACCUCCUUGCUUCCCUCUGGCCUCUGAAACAGGAGACCUCCUUGCUUCCCUCUGGCCUCUGACACCCCCCUGUGCUUGGGUCCUUCCACCCGAGUGAGGGGCAGUACGGUAUUGUGGUCAGUAGGCCAGGCUCCAAAGCCACACACCUGGCCUCCACCCCUCCCAGGCCAUGUGGUGUGACUGCAGACAAGUCAUUUAACCUCCCUGUGCCUCUAUUUUCUCAUCUGUAAAAUGGGGGUGAUGGCAAGAAAAGUAGUAGCCACUUCAGAGGGUCGUUGUAAAUAUUAAAUGAGCUACUUCUGUAAACAGUUAUAGAAAACGAAAACUACUCUGUAACAUCAGAAAGCAGGUCAGUGGUUGCCUGAGGACAAAAGGAAGGGUCCGGAUGGAGAAAUUACCAAGGGUUCCGAGGAAACGUUGAGGGGCAAUGGGUUUGUUCGUUAUCUUAUUUGUAGUGAUGAUUUCGUGGGUACAUACAUGUAUCAAAACAUAGCACAUUGUACACUUUGGCUUUAAAUAUAUCUCAACAGCACUGUUUAUUUAUUUAUUUAUUUUGAGAUGGAGUCUUGCUCUGUUGCCUAGACUGGAGUGCAAUGGCGCGAUCUCUGCUCAUUGCAACCUCCACCCGCUGGGUUCAAGUGAUUCUCCUGCCUCAGCCUCCCGAGCAGCUGGGACUACAGGCGUCUGCCACCACGCCCAGCUAAUUUUUGUAUUUUUAGUAGAGACGCCAUGUUGACCAGGCUGGUCUCGAACUCCUCCUGAUCUCAAAUGAUCCACCCACCUCAGACUCCCAAAGUGCUAGGCCAACAGCACUGUUUAAAUUAUCGUGUGAGGUAAUAUGCGGAAGUCACUCAGUAGGCAUCAGGCACACAGUGAGAGCUACAUCAAUAUUAAAUGCUGGUGUUACUCUCUCAUGUCCCCUGCCACCAACCCCCACCCCUGCUCUCUUCAUCAUUAGCCCCUCAGGGUUUCAAAAGCUCAUAUGGGCUCAAGGCAGCCCACUCCGUGUCUUGCUAACCGUGUGUGUACAUGUUAUCAAAAUCUGGAAACUGCCGAAAUUAUACCCCUGAUGGCAGGAACUCAGCUAGAAUCUCAACAUAUGUCCCCACAGCUGCUUCUUCAGGAGCAACUGCUGAAUAGCCACUGUCCCAUCCCUGCCCCUCUUACCCCCCAGGACCAACCUCACCACAACUGCCCACAUCUAGGAACUACAGGGUUAAAGGCGGGCACAGCUUGGCAGGGGUGGCCUCUGGGGUCCUGUUCCAGCUCAGUUCUCAUAGUUGGUGCUGAGUGCUAAUUUUUUGUUUGUUUGUUUGUUUGUUGGAGAGGCGAGGGCUCCCUAUGUUGCCCAGGCUUGUCUUGGACUCCUGGCCUCAAGCAAUCCUCUCACCUCAGCCUCCCAAAGCGCUGGCAUUAUGGGUUUGAGCCACUGUGCCCAGACCUAAAUAUUUUAAAUAUCAUCCUGUCUUAGGCCACCUUUGCCCAUGACCCAGCUACAUUGAUGGGGCAACCAUGGCAGCAUCAUGUCAGGACCUUCUCCAAGUCCAGACACCCGGCAAUGUGGCUUUCCCUGAGCCCAGCCACAGCAGGGAAUACUCAGCCCCAGAGGACAUUAGAGUCUCUCAGGGACUACCCUGGCCAAGGACCUUCCAGGAACACAAUCCCUCCCACUCCUGUCACCCCUACCUCCCCCCGGAGCCAUGGUGGGCUCAGGGGAGGCUUCUGGUCUGGGGGUUGGAGGAUGUGCACUAAGUGAGUCAUGUCACAGCUGGACAUAAAAUUACAAUUUGGUUUUCUUGACUUUUCUUAAACAUUUUCUCCCUCUUAAACUCCUCUAAGUUCUGAGACAGAAUUAUUGAACUCAACUGGGGUUGGGUGACAAGGAGGGUCUGGCCCCUGACUCCCUGUCAAAGGCUGUGCCCAGGGCCAGGCUAGGUCAGAGGACCUGUGGGAUGAAGGGGCAGGACGGUGGCUCACAGCGCAGCGGGGUGGGCGAGGCCAGCAAGGUCUGCUACACUCUGUGUAGGAAGUGACCUUGUCAGGGCUGACCAGUGGGGAACAAUACUGAGAAAGGCGGAGCCAGGAAGCCACCCGGUCACCUCAGGAACCCUGAGGUGGACGCAGAGGCCAAGGUCAGACUCCAGGUCUGCAGGAGCACCCCCGAACCUGGUCAUGAACGGGUGUGAGCCUGUGUGUGAGAGAAAGAGAAAACAAAUGUGCACACGACAGGGAAUUUGGUGUGUGAGACAAGAGAGUGCUCGUGUUUUUGAGAGUGUGCGUCUAAGAAAAAAAAAAUUGUAAGGAUUUUGUGUGUGGGGUAGAAUAUGUACACGGAGAGACCUUUCUGAUUCUGAGAGGAUGUUCUUGUAGGUGGACUUGCUGAUUCCGAAACUAAACAAGAAUCUCCUCAUCCUCAGGCCGGGGGCACCCAGGGCAGCCUGAGCAGGGAGAAGUUGCCCCGGCAGCCUCCUGUCUCCUUUCGAGGGACUGGUGGCGCCUUCCUGCCCCCUCCAACAUGGACUCAGGGUCUUCGCUUCAAAGUGCUGAGCCGGGGCCUGGGAAUUCCCACACACCCACCCCCGCCACCCCUGCCUCACCUGGCGGUUGCCUCAGAACCAGAAGCCACACAAAUAUGCCGCCGAGCCGGUGGGGCGGCUUUCCUGUCAGCGGCUGCCCUGAGAGGGCCAGAUCUCCAUUAUUCAUGGUCCUUCGGUGAGUGACACCCACCCCCUAACCUUGAGGGAUUUUCGAGAAUGCUGGCUGGAGGGCUCUGGGUACCCUGCUCAGGCUGGAAAAGGCUUCCCCUUCACACACUGGCUGGUUUCUCCAGUCGGCCCCCAACAAGCUGUGGGUGGCUUCAGGAAGCCCCUCCCUGGCCAGGCGAGGUAAUGUUGGGAGACCGACAAGGCAACCAAACCCUAUGCCCAAGAUUCUUGACCUUUUGGGGAGGUCCCAGACCUCUCUGAGAGUCUGAGAAAUUGAAUAGAUCCUUUCUCUAGAAAAAUUCUCUACAAAUUUUUACUGUAAUGUCAGAAGCUUUUGAGUCCAUUCCUCAGUUCCAUAUGGGUCCUCAGACCUUGGUUAAGGGCAAUGGAACCCCCAACACCAAAGCGCUGAAAUUGCCAAAAUUAUAGCCCUGGCAGCAGGAAACUCCACUAGAAUCUCAACACAUAGAAGAUACUGGGAACAUUCUGGUGAAUGAACGUGUUCCCCACCAGCUGUGAUGUGAGUGGUGAGCAGGCAGGACUCCCUGGAGUCUGGCCUCCACCACAAACAACUUUGGGACUUGAAGCUUUAUUUAUUCACUCAAUGCUUCUUUUUGGUUUUGAUUUUGGUUGGGUUGUUUUUGUUUUUGUGUUUUGUUUUUCUGGGAUGGGAAUCUCACGAUGUUGCCCAGGCUGGAGUGCAGUGGCUAUUCACAGAUGUGACCACAGCACACUACAGCCUCGAACUCCUGGGCUUCAGCCAUCCUCCCGGCUUAGCCUCCUGAGUGGCUGGGAUUACAGGCUGCACUACCACACCUGGCUUCAGUGGUUGUUACUGCCUACAGACUUUGUGCCAGGCAUGGCCAUAUGAUGAGGAUAUAAAAUAGAUGUAUAGACACAUUUUCUGCCUUCAUGUUGCUUAUAGUCUAGGGUGAACGAGAAAAUUAAUUGAACACCUAAGUACAUAUGUAAUUCUAUGAAGUGGCCAGGGAUUAUGACUAAACCCCUAGGGCUUCAGUUUCCUCAUCUAUAAAAUGAAGAUAACUAUAGUUACUUGCUAGUCUUUCUAUGAGGAUGAAAUGAGACCACUUAUGUUAAGCACUGAGCGUGGAGCCUGCACAAGAGGGAGCUACAGAAGGCAUGGCGUGUGAGUGAGGCUGGUCAGCAGACAGAAGUGAGCCUGGCCACUCUGUGAUGGCAGAGCCUUGGCAAAAACCAGGCCACUACCAUCUUGACCAGCCUGGAUGCUGGGGCUGGAAGGGUAGCCAUUUUAGAGGCAGCCUCCAGGCCAUGAACAUCACUAGGCAGCAGCCAAGCCCUGUAUGAAUGGGGAGCAAGUGGUCAGAGUAGGAGGAGGCCAAAGCUGACCCUUUGAAUGGCCAAGUUGAAGCAGGGGACUGGAAUGACUUCUCAGCAGGGGUGGGUUUUAAGAUCUGUGCCAAUUUCUACUUCUGGCUACAGUAGACUAGCUUAUAUAUCACACCAACUUUGCCACCAACCGAAAAAAGAGAUAAAAUACAUUUUUAAAAUUUGAAUCUAGAAAGAUGAGCUUAACAUUUGGCCCUACUUUUCCCCUAAGCAGUAGCAUGAAGUUCAGAAUGUGAGCAGGAAGUGGAGACUGAGGUUUUUGCAACCUCCUGGAGUUAGAGAAAGAGGAAAGGGGAGAACUCAAGCAUCUCCAAGUGGAGAGAUGGCUUGUUUAGAAAAAAAAAAAACUGUCAGUUAGGACCCUUGAAGCACAAAUCAGAAAUAGGUCAGCCCUCACAAAGGUUGAAGUGCAGCUUCAAACAAACUUAAUCCCACAUGGGAUUAAAGUGCGCUGCCUCUACUCUAUCUCCCUUCCAGAGUCAAGAGUAAAUCCUCUCUGGAUUAUUCAGAGCCUCAAAUUAUCUCUACAAUCCUUCCAUAUACCAUGUCUGGAAGUCAAUAACAUUUACCAGGCAUGACAGGAGAUAAGAUCAUAUGACUGAAACUAAGAGGUGGAAAAAAAACACAGCUAAUAGGAAUAAACCUGAAGGAGAUCCAGAUAUUAUUAUUUAAAAUAGCAGACUUUAAAAUAAUUGUGAUUGAUAUGUUCAAAAAAAUUGGAGAGAUAAAUAAUUUAAGGAGAACUGGAAACUCCUAAAGGUUAUCAAAUGGAAGUUCUAGGCAAAUACAAAAUACUACAAAAAAUAAUCAUCAUCAUAAUUAACAAGCAAUGAAUGGGUUUAACAGCAGAUUAGAUGUCACUAAUAGAAGAUUAGUGAACUGGAAAACAGGUCAGUAUAAAAUAUUGAGCAAUGAAGCACAAUGAGAAAAUCUGAUAAAAAAUAAAAUCAGGGGCCAGGCACGGUGGCUCACACGUGUGGUCCCAAUAGUUUGGGAGGCCGAGGCGGGUGGAUCACCUGAGGUCAGGAGUUCGAGACCAGCCUGGCCAACAUAGUGAAACCCCAUCUCUACUAAAAAUACAAAAAUUAGCCAGGUGUGGAGGCAGGUGCCUGUAAUCCCAACUACUCAGCAGGCUGAGGCAGGAGAAUCACUUGAACCUGGGAGGUGGAGGUUACAGUGAGCCAAGAUCGUGCCAUUGCACUCCAGCCUAGGUGACACAGCAAAAUUCUGUGUUAAUAAAUAAAUAAAUUAAUUAAUUAAUUAAAUCCGGGCACAAAAAGAGAAUAACAUUUUUAAAUCCCUUAAUUUACCCCCAUAAAACACGGUAUAAAUGGUUUUGUAUGGGGUGGGUGCGAUGGCUUACACCUGUAAUCCCAGCAUUUUGGGAGGCUGAGGCAGGCUGAUCACUUGAGCCCAGGGGUUCAAGACUAGUCUGGGCUCACUUGUCUCUACAAAAAACAUAAAAAUUAGCCAAGCAUGGUGGUGUAUGCCUGUAGUCCAGCUACUUGGAAGGCUAAGGUGGAAGGAUCACCUAAGCCUAGGAGGUCAAGGCUGCAGUGAGCAUGACUGUGCCACUGCACUCUAGCCUGGGCAACAGAGUAAGACCCUAUCCAAAAAUAAAAUAAAGUAAAGUAAAAGGUUUCAUAUGUACAAUAUAGUAUAGUGUUUGUAUGUGAGCAUAAUAUGGGAUAAUGGACAGUAUGUAAUAAAGACUACAUAUGCAAAUUUACUUAUGGCAUUAUUACAUUAAAAAUAAGGAGCUGGAAGUUUCAUGCAUUAAAUGUAAAUUUGAUGAGACUCCAUGGUGUAUGAGACUCAGGGAGAGAAUGGGCUUUGGAGGCCACUGCCCUGAUCUGAAACGUGAGUAGGAGCCUCUGAGUAGUGGAUUCUUCCUCAUGCUCCUUGAUCCACGGCACAUGGGUGAUCUCCCAUUCCCCGCUGUGGCUCUCACCCCACUGACUGCUAUGAUCAGGCCCUGGCCUUCUUUCCAUUCCUUAACCUGCUAAUCUCUUUCCUGCUUCAAGGCCUUUUUACACACUGUUCCAUGUGCCUGGAUGCACUUGUCCAUGCCCUUCUCACACCUACUUCUGCUCAGCCCUCAGGUCUCAGUUUAUGUAUCGCACCCUGUGUUUAGUGUAUCCCCCCUUCACAGCAAUGACUACAUUAAGCAGUAAUUUUAUUUGUUUGUUUCCUUAUCUCUCUUCUAUGAAUUGCCUCUGCUACUUAAAACAGCUCCUAUAGAGCCCCGAAUAUUAUCAUCACCAUUAGUUUGAGACUAGAAGUGCCAACACUCAGUCAUUCACUCGCAAAAUGCUUGUUGAGCAUGUACUCUGUGCCAGGCGAGGUGAAGACACUGGGGCUACAGGAGGAACAAAACAGACAAACAUUCUACUCUCAUAGAUCUGGAAGAGACAGACAUAAACAAACAUUAGACUUGUCAGGGGGUGCUGAGUGCAGCUAGGCAACUGCAAAAAGGAUGUAGAGGAUGAAAAAGAAGGAGAGGCCAGGUGUGGUGGCUCACGCCUGUAAUCCCAGCACUCUGGGAGGCCAAGGUGGGUGGAUCACCUGAAGUCAGGAGUUCGAGACCAGCCUGGCCAACAUGGUGAAACCCCAUAUCUACUAAAAAUGCAAAAAACUAGCCAGGUGUGGUGGCGGGCGCCUAUAGUCCCAGCUACUCAGGAGGCCGAUACAGGAGAAUCGCUUGAACCCAGGAGGCGGAGGUUGCAAGUGAGCCGAGAUCAUGCCACUGCACUCC
Molecule: long non-coding RNA, 7531 nt
Filed under: Homo sapiens (human)
Lineage: Eukaryota; Metazoa; Chordata; Mammalia; Primates; Hominidae
Description: non-protein coding lnc-CTIF-9:1
Source: RNAcentral